AGGGAGAUGGAGAUCCUUCGGCAGCGCUUCCAAUCCGAGCUCGUCGCCGUCCGUCGCCUCCUCCAUAAGGCGGCCGCCGUGCUAGUUCCCGCCUCGUCCCCGUUGACUCCCCGCGUCAAGGAGAGUCGUCGAGGUUUCUUGGCCGAGGAGCCGCCGGCCAAGAAGAGGAAGGCGUCCCCUCCCGUUCCUCUGAUCAAGAGCAAGAAGGCGCCCAGGAAGAAGAUGAUGACGGGCUCUGAGAGGGAGAUGCUCGCGGAAGACCUGGAGCUGUUCGUUGCGGAGAUCCCCGAUCACGUCGUCGAGCUCUUGAAGAAGCACAGCUGCGCCACCCGCCCCGGCGAAAUCGAGAUCGACGUCCACGCGUUGGAUGACGCCGCCGCCGUCGAGUUACAGGAGCAGGUUGACAAGUUCGCUCGAGAGAGGAGGUCGAAUCCGCCGCCGCAAGAACGGCACCAAGACGGCCCUAAGGUGAUGGCCCAAGAGGAGGAGGACGACGAAGAAGUUGACAUCUGUGGCGGCGUCUCCCCCUUAGCGAUCGUGCCGGCACCUCUGGCCCAAGAACGGCACCAAGACGGCCCUAAGGCCAUGGCCGAAGAGGAGGAGGAGGAAGAUGUUGACAUCUGUGGUGGCGUCUCC
RNAcentral lists this ribosomal RNA (636 nucleotides) under Triticum aestivum (bread wheat). RNAcentral describes it as "partial small subunit ribosomal RNA". The record is from RNAcentral. Lineage: Eukaryota; Viridiplantae; Streptophyta; Magnoliopsida; Poales; Poaceae.